AUUGAACGCUGGCGGCAUGCCUAACACAUGCAAGUCGAACGGCAGCACGGUAGUUGCUACCUGUUUCCGAGGGGGAAUCGCGUGCGUAAUAUAUCGACAUCUGUCUUUACGUGGGCGAUAGCCCUGCGAAAGGCGAAUUUACCCCACAUCCGCAUAACGCCUAAGAGUGGGAGCCUUGGAUCUCCCGCUCUUUGGUGAUUGCAGGUGGCGAUGGCGGAUUAGCUAGUUGUUGGGGUAAAGGCCUACCAAGGCGACGAUCCGUAGCUGGUCUGAGAGGAUGAUCAGCCACACUGGAACUGAGACACGGUCCAGACUCCUACGGGAGGCAGCAGUGGGGAAUAUUGGACAAUGGGCGAAAGCCUGAUCCAGCAAUGCCGCGUGUGUGAAGAAGGCCUUCGGGUUGUAAAGCACUUUUGUUGGGAAAGAAAAGCAGGAAGUUAAUACCGUGCUGUGAUGACGGUACCGAAAGAAUAAGCACCGGCUAACUUCGUG
Molecule: ribosomal RNA, 492 nt
Filed under: uncultured bacterium
Lineage: Bacteria
Description: partial 16S ribosomal RNA
Rfam family: Bacterial small subunit ribosomal RNA
Source: RNAcentral